RNAcentral lists this ribosomal RNA (3010 nucleotides) under Salmonella enterica subsp. enterica serovar Agona. RNAcentral's name for it is "23S ribosomal RNA". It matches the Rfam family "Bacterial large subunit ribosomal RNA". Lineage: Bacteria; Pseudomonadati; Pseudomonadota; Gammaproteobacteria; Enterobacterales; Enterobacteriaceae. The record is from RNAcentral.
GGGUUGUGAGGUUAAGCGACUAAGCGUACACGGUGGAUGCCCUGGCAGUCAGAGGCGAUGAAGGGCGUGCUAAUCUGCGAUAAGCGCCGGUAAGGUGAUAUGAACCGUUAUAACCGGCGAUACCCGAAUGGGGAAACCCAGUGUGACUCGUCACACUAUCAUUAACUGAAUCCAUAGGUUAAUGAGGCGAACCGGGGGAACUGAAACAUCUAAGUACCCCGAGGAAAAGAAAUCAACCGAGAUUCCCCCAGUAGCGGCGAGCGAACGGGGAGGAGCCCAGAGCCUGAAUCAGCAUGUGUGUUAGUGGAAGCGUCUGGAAAGGCGCGCGAUACAGGGUGACAGCCCCGUACACAAAAGCGCAUGUGCUGUGAGCUCGAUGAGUAGGGCGGGACACGUGGUAUCCUGUCUGAAUAUGGGGGGACCAUCCUCCAAGGCUAAAUACUCCUGACUGACCGAUAGUGAACCAGUACCGUGAGGGAAAGGCGAAAAGAACCCCGGCGAGGGGAGUGAAAAAGAACCUGAAACCGUGUACGUACAAGCAGUGGGAGCACAGGUUUACCUGUGUGACUGCGUACCUUUUGUAUAAUGGGUCAGCGACUUAUAUUCUGUAGCAAGGUUAACCGAAUAGGGGAGCCGGAGGGAAACCGAGUCUUAAUUGGGCGUUAAGUUGCAGGGUAUAGACCCGAAACCCGGUGAUCUAGCCAUGGGCAGGUUGAAGGUUGGGUAACACUAACUGGAGGACCGAACCGACUAAUGUUGAAAAAUUAGCGGAUGACCUGUGGCUGGGGGUGAAAGGCCAAUCAAACCGGGAGAUAGCUGGUUCUCCCCGAAAGCUAUUUAGGUAGCGCCUCGUGAAUUCAUCUCCGGGGGUAGAGCACUGUUUCGGCUAGGGGGCCAUCCCGGCUUACCAACCCGAUGCAAACUGCGAAUACCGGAGAAUGUUAUCACGGGAGACACACGGCGGGUGCUAACGUCCGUCGUGAAGAGGGAAACAACCCAGACCGCCAGCUAAGGUCCCAAAGUCAUGGUUAAGUGGGAAACGAUGUGGGAAGGCCCAGACAGCCAGGAUGUUGGCUUAGAAGCAGCCAUCAUUUAAAGAAAGCGUAAUAGCUCACUGGUCGAGUCGGCCUGCGCGGAAGAUGUAACGGGGCUAAACCAUGCACCGAAGCUGCGGCAGCGAACGUAUCACUUAAAGCGAUUCAGCGGGUUACGAUUGACGGAGCGAAGCGACGUCAAAGCGUAUACAAAGUCGAGUCGGUUUAAGGAUACGUUCGUUGGGUAGGGGAGCGUUCUGUAAGCCUGUGAAGGUGGCCUGUGAGGGUUGCUGGAGGUAUCAGAAGUGCGAAUGCUGACAUAAGUAACGAUAAAGCGGGUGAAAAGCCCGCUCGCCGGAAGACCAAGGGUUCCUGUCCAACGUUAAUCGGGGCAGGGUGAGUCGACCCCUAAGGCGAGGCCGAAAGGCGUAGUCGAUGGGAAACGGGUUAAUAUUCCCGUACUUGGUGUUACUGCGAAGGGGGGACGGAGAAGGCUAUGUUGGCCGGGCGACGGUUGUCCCGGUUUAAGCGUGUAGGUGUGUGUUCCAGGUAAAUCCGGUUCACUUUAACACUGAGGCGUGAUGACGAGGCACUACGGUGCUGAAGCAACAAAUGCCCUGCUUCCAGGAAAAGCCUCUAAGCAUCAGGUAACAUCAAAUCGUACCCCAAACCGACACAGGUGGUCAGGUAGAGAAUACCAAGGCGCUUGAGAGAACUCGGGUGAAGGAACUAGGCAAAAUGGUGCCGUAACUUCGGGAGAAGGCACGCUGACACGUAGGUGAAGUGAUUUACUCAUGGAGCUGAAGUCAGUCGAAGAUACCAGCUGGCUGCAACUGUUUAUUAAAAACACAGCACUGUGCAAACACGAAAGUGGACGUAUACGGUGUGACGCCUGCCCGGUGCCGGAAGGUUAAUUGAUGGGGUCAGCGCAAGCGAAGCUCCUGAUCGAAGCCCCGGUAAACGGCGGCCGUAACUAUAACGGUCCUAAGGUAGCGAAAUUCCUUGUCGGGUAAGUUCCGACCUGCACGAAUGGCGUAAUGAUGGCCAGGCUGUCUCCACCCGAGACUCAGUGAAAUUGAACUCGCUGUGAAGAUGCAGUGUACCCGCGGCAAGACGGAAAGACCCCGUGAACCUUUACUAUAGCUUGACACUGAACAUUGAGCCUUGAUGUGUAGGAUAGGUGGGAGGCUUUGAAGUGUGGACGCCAGUCUGCAUGGAGCCGACCUUGAAAUACCACCCUUUAAUGUUUGAUGUUCUAACGUGGACCCGUAAUCCGGGUUGCGGACAGUGUCUGGUGGGUAGUUUGACUGGGGCGGUCUCCUCCUAAAGAGUAACGGAGGAGCACGAAGGUUGGCUAAUCCUGGUCGGACAUCAGGAGGUUAGUGCAAUGGCAUAAGCCAGCUUGACUGCGAGCGUGACGGCGCGAGCAGGUGCGAAAGCAGGUCAUAGUGAUCCGGUGGUUCUGAAUGGAAGGGCCAUCGCUCAACGGAUAAAAGGUACUCCGGGGAUAACAGGCUGAUACCGCCCAAGAGUUCAUAUCGACGGCGGUGUUUGGCACCUCGAUGUCGGCUCAUCACAUCCUGGGGCUGAAGUAGGUCCCAAGGGUAUGGCUGUUCGCCAUUUAAAGUGGUACGCGAGCUGGGUUUAGAACGUCGUGAGACAGUUCGGUCCCUAUCUGCCGUGGGCGCUGGAGAACUGAGGGGGGCUGCUCCUAGUACGAGAGGACCGGAGUGGACGCAUCACUGGUGUUCGGGUUGUCAUGCCAAUGGCACUGCCCGGUAGCUAAAUGCGGAAGAGAUAAGUGCUGAAAGCAUCUAAGCACGAAACUUGCCCCGAGAUGAGUUCUCCCUGAGACUUAGAGUCUCCUGAAGGAACGUUGAAGACGACGACGUUGAUAGGCCGGGUGUGUAAGCGCAGCGAUGCGUUGAGCUAACCGGUACUAAUGAACCGUGAGGCUUAACCUUACAACGCCGAAG